CAAAUGGAUACGCAAGCACAACAAACGACGGAAGAUGCAAAUCAACGUCUGAAACUCGCGAUAGCAAUGGCGAUUCUCAAAUACAAGCGUCUUCAGAAGCCUAACGAUGGUGAUCCUCAACCUCCUCCUAGUAAUGGCUCUGAAUCGGACGCCAUCGUAUGGAAACGGAAGGUGAACUUUUCGACUGUAUAUAUUGCUCGUGUGCGUGUAUGGGUGAUUUCACUAAUUGACUGAAAUUCUGAUUCUAGAAUUUGGAAAUUUUAGGCCAAAGAACGGAAAGCUGAAAUUCUCAAACUUAAGGAAGAUCUCAGACUUGCUGAAGGUUAGGCCUCCUUAUUAUGAUUUUUGUCAUUUUUCCAUUUGAACAGAAUCUGAGUCGUGGUGUAAGUAGUCGGAUGGCUUGUUAAUGUGCAGAAGUUUUUAGUAUUCGAAAAAAAUAGCCCUGCUACACGCGUGUACAUGCGUGUUUGUCCAAUAUUGAUACUAUAGAUUUUACAAUUAAUUUUUGAAGUAGAUGGAGUUCAGUAUGAUGUAUUUCCACAAAGUGCAUCAUGCAAAUGCUAUUUCUUCGACAAGUUUGGGGAACUAAGCCCUAAGCUUUCCGAAGAUGGUUCUGAAUCCAAUCAAUGGAGAUUUAAGGACGUGCUGCGUCGUAGAUUUCUUAAACAAGGUUUUCUCUCAUCUUUUACUUAUCAAACCUUUCAUGUUGAAUAUUAUAUCUUCUAAACAAUUUUUUCAUGCGUUUUCUAGUAUUGUUCGUGUUUUAUGUUUCUCCUUUGCUAGAAUUCUAUUAAUUUGAACAUUUGUAGUGAGGUUAAGUGAGAGAAAGAGAAGACGACUUGGUGGCUUGACAGAACGAUCAUGUAUUUCAGGUGAAACAGCAAUACAUGCAUCGGUAAUGUGUAUAUAUCCUGUUAAUUUACUGAAUUAAUUGAAAGUGCUUAAGAGGCCACAAAGAAAUUAAACUUUUUGUUUUAUAUAUAGUAACAACAUAUUUUUUCUUGAUGAAUUCAUCGUUCUUGUUAUAUGGGGUCAUUGACUGCCAGUAUCGCCGAUCACAUUGCAUGAGUGGGUUUCAUAAAAUUUCCGAAAUAAAUUCUGAAUAAUUUUUUUACGACAGAGAAAUACUCGAAAUGUGAUAGGAAAAAUUGUAUUUUUGCUCAUUGAAACCAAAUAGGAUAUGUUUCUAUAAGCAUGCAGACAGGCUAAAUCCUUCUUUUCAGAGAGCAUGAAAAGUCUAAAAUCACUAGAACAUAGGAGAAAUGCGGUGAUUAAGUUUAAGAUCUACAAGUAUCAGCAAAAUAGAAGUAAAUUUUUUUGUUCAUUCAUAAGUGUCCUGUUUGUGAAUUAGAUUUUUAUGCACCUUCCGAUUCGCAUCAAUAAACUCUCUGUGUACGUGCCCUCUCCCUUUUUUGUUAUUUUUAUUUUUCUCUAUAUGUUGCAGAUUAUGCUAGUGAAAAUGAAUUGGAACAUCUAAGGACUUCGGUAGAUUUUCUGGUGGAACUUUGUGAAACUGUCUCUCCUCUCAGAGUGUGGCUCUUUCUAUUCUUCCUUUAUUGCUCAAUCUUGUUUUUUGUGCAAUAUAAUAAUUUGCACUCCCCUACUUAGUACCAUUAGUUUGGAUAUUUCUCAUGCAUAUGUUGCAGGUUGAGGAGAGUAAUUUUAAGAACUGGUCACACCAGGCCAUUGAUUUCAUUCUUGGUAGGAUAUUUUCUUUUCAGUUGUCCUUUUUGUUUCUAAAAGCAUAAGCUACACUAAAAUUAGGAGCCAUAUCUACCACCAAAUCACAAAUGGUGACACAUAAUCCCUUCUAUAUGGAGAUGAACAGAAGUAUUUAUGUGUAUAACUGCAGUUAUGGUCUUCUUUCUUUCCGUGCUUGGGGGGUAAUUUCUGG
This 1894-nucleotide long non-coding RNA is filed under the name Olea europaea subsp. europaea. The record is from RNAcentral. Lineage: Eukaryota; Viridiplantae; Streptophyta; Magnoliopsida; Lamiales; Oleaceae.